This 492-nucleotide ribosomal RNA is filed under the name uncultured bacterium. RNAcentral's name for it is "partial 16S ribosomal RNA". It matches the Rfam family "Bacterial small subunit ribosomal RNA", at positions 29 to 507 of the family's 1533-position model. The record is from RNAcentral.
AGUGAACGCUGGCGGUAGGCCUAACACAUGCAAGUCGAACGGCAGCACAGUAAGAGCUUGCUCUUACGGGUGGCGAGUGGCGGACGGGUGAGGAAUACAUCGGAAUCUACUUUUUCGUGGGGGAUAACGUAGGGAAACUUACGCUAAUACCGCAUACGACCUACGGGUGAAAGCAGGGGAUCUUCGGACCUUGCGCGAUUGAAUGAGCCGAUGUCGGAUUAGCUUGUUGGCGGGGUAAAGGCCCACCAAGGCGACGAUCCGUAGCUGGUCUGAGAGGAUGAUCAGCCACACUGGAACGGAGACACGGUCCAGACUCCUACGGGAGGCAGCAGUGGGGAAUAUUGGACAAUGGGCGCAAGCCUGAUCCAGCCAUACCGCGUGGGUGAAGAAGGCCUUCGGGUUGUAAAGCCCUUUUGUUGGGAAAGAAAAGCAGCAGGUUAAUACCCCGCUGUUCUGACGGUACCCAAAGAAUAAGCACCGGCUAACUUCGUG